This 233-nucleotide ribosomal RNA is filed under the name uncultured bacterium. RNAcentral describes it as "partial 16S ribosomal RNA". It matches the Rfam family "Bacterial small subunit ribosomal RNA", at positions 15 to 229 of the family's 1533-position model. The record is from RNAcentral.
GAUCCUGGCUCAGGAUGAACGCCGGCGGCGUGCCUAACACAUGCAAGUCGAACGAAGCUUGACGGAUGAUUUCUUCGGAAUGAAACCAGAUAUGACUUAGUGGCGGACGGGUGAGUAACACGUGAGCAACCUGCCUUUCAGAGGGGGAUAACGGCUGGAAACGGUCGCUAAUACCGCAUGAUGUGUUCGGAUGGCAUCAUCUGAACAUCAAAGAUUUAUCGCUGAAAGAUGGG